This is a non-coding RNA of Drosophila melanogaster (fruit fly), 644 nucleotides long. The record is from Ensembl. NCBI's taxonomy places the organism in Eukaryota, Metazoa, Arthropoda, Insecta, Diptera, Drosophilidae.
ACUGGUCUGGGCCGGCAUUUAAACCGGUACUUAGCACCCCGAUCUGUGAUCUGUGAUUACGCAAGUGCAAGUGCGGUGCAAGCGGCGAACACGAAAACAUCACCUUAACUCACCCGAGAUCGCCCGAGAUCACAACUUACGCACAUCACACAUACGCCGCGUUGUACGCAAGCGAAAAUGAAAAUGAAAACGAAAAUGAAAACAUCGGAAAAACGACGCACAACUGAAAUUCUAGAUCAAGGCCACGCCCGGCUAGGCCCAUAAAUAUAAAUCCACAUCGCCACAUCAAUGUACGUUUGGCACACGCAAAAUGCGUAAACUAGUUUGUUUGGCUCCAGGAGAUCCAUGGAGCGGGAGGAUUACUGGUGGCAACUCGCCCAGUCGCCAAGGAAGCAGUGCGUCGUCGAACACAACGAACACGAUAAAUUGUCAGGCGAAUGCAUUUUGUCACAUUUGGUUAUUUUGCAUUUGUAAAUUACAAGACAAAACACUUAGCAGUCGCCCAAGAAAUUUGGGUUGCAACGCCACGGCACCCAAUUACACAUGAAAAUGUAUCUGACUUUUUUGCUUGUAGAGCGUGGAGCCGAAUGUGGAGCACUUUUGCUUACUUAAUUUAUUUAUUAACGCUGGGAAUAACAGUAGCU